This is a long non-coding RNA of Gallus gallus (chicken), 4763 nucleotides long. RefSeq lists it as uncharacterized. The transcript is spliced from 2 exons. The record is from RefSeq and is a predicted model, not a curated record. Lineage: Eukaryota; Metazoa; Chordata; Aves; Galliformes; Phasianidae.
GCCACAAUGUCCUCCCGUGUCCUCUCAUACCUCUGUGAUUCACGUGGUCUCCUGGCCUCCUCUUCUCUCUUCCGUUCCCGGCUCACCCGGUGGAUCUCCACAUCGGCUUCAGCUUCCGCCGCAAUGUCCUCCCGUGUCCUCUCAUAGCUCUGUGAUUCACGUGGUCUCCUGUCCUCUUGUUCUCUCUCCCUUCCUCGGGACACACGGCGGAUCUCCACAUCGGCUUCAGCUUCAGCCACAACAUCCUCCCGUGUCUUAUCAUACCUCUGUGAUUCACGUGGUUUCCUGUCCUCUUGUCCUGUUUCCCGUUUUUGGGUCACGUGGCGGAUCUCCACAUCGGCUUCCGCUUCUGCCGCAAUGUCCUCCCGUGUUCUCUCAUACCUCACUGAUUCACGGGGUCUCCUGAGCUUCCCCUCCCUCUCCCGUUUUCGGGACACACAGGGGAUCUGCACAUCAGCUUCAGCUUCAGCCACAAUGUCCUCUUGUGUUUUCACAUACCUCACCAACUCAUCGGGUCUCCUGUCCUCUUCUCUCUCCCUUCCUCGGGACACACGGCGGAUCUCCACAUUGGCUUCAGCUUCAGCCACAAUGUCCUCCCGUGUCCUGUCAUACCUCUCUGAGUCACGGGGUCUCCUGUCCUCUUGUUCUCUCUCCCGUUCCCGGGACACACGGCGGAUCUCCACAUCAGCUUCAGCUUCAGCCACAAUAUUCUCUUGUGUUUUCACAUGUCUCACUGAUUCAUGAGGUCUCCUGUCCUCCAGUUCUCUCUCCCUUCCUCGGCUCACACGGUGGAUCUCCACAUCAGCUUCCGCUUCAGCCACAGUGUUCUCCUGUGUCCUCUGGUACCUGGCCGAUUCACGUGGUCUCUUGGCCUCCUCUUCUCUCUCCCUUUUUUGGGUCUCACGGCGGAUCUUUACAGUGGCUUCAGCUUCUGCCACACUGUCCUCUUGUGUUCUUUCUUCCAUCAUGGAUUCACAUGAUUUUCUGUCCUUCUGAGUUUUCCCUUGUUCGUAAUAAUCUUCUUCCAGCUCCCUUGUAUUAUUGUAUUUAUGGCUUAUUACUAGCGGUUCCUGGAGGUAUGACUGAUGCAGCCUUUCUGAAUCCAGGCAUUCAGGCUUGCACGGCUGGCGGCUGCUUCUUUCAAGUUCUUUUUGUUCCAACUUACGUAGGUGGUUGCGGCUUCUCUCAUCUUUGAGUAAUUCAGGAUUUCGUGGUUGAUUGUGCCUUCCUCUAUCUGCUUCUUCUGGCUCAUGUGGCCGACGGCUGCUUCUGCCAUGUGCCACUGCCUCUUGAUCUUGUGGUCUAUGGUUUCUUUGAUCAUAAGCUGGCAAUGCUGGCUCACGUGGCUGACGGUCACUCCGCCGGUCUGGCAGCAGCUGUGGUUCACAGGAAUGGCUGCAGCUCCUCACGUCUGCCAGUUGCUCUCGUUGAGGCUUCUCUUGAUUUUGUCUCUCAUCAUUCUGUGCUGCCUUCAAGCUGCCAUGCUUGUGGCUUUGUAAAUCUCCCAGUCUGUCCAGCUCAGGUGGCUGACGUCUUUGUCUGCUUCGUUGGUCGCAUGGCUCUUGGGUUUGUUCUUCAUAUUCCUGAGGGAUUAUUUCACUCGGCCUGGUGCUUUGUCUUGCAUCAGCUCUGCUUUGUGUGUUAUGUUGCUGGCGAUGACUUCCUGUCUCCUCGUGUGUCUCAAGAUCCUGUACCCUUGUGUCUGGUUGUGGCUCAGGUAUGCAGGGGGGAUGGCGAUUACGCUCAAGUGUUUGUGGUUCCUCUUCCUGGAGCUGCUGACGGCUCCCUCUGUUCUUAAUUUCAGGCUCUUGGAUUGUCUUGCUGCUGGUUAUCAGUUUUGUUCUUUGCAGAAGGCAUUGUCCCUUCUGCAGGUACCAGUAGCAGGCCUUAGCUACUCUGAAUACCAAAAGCAGGAACUCAUUAAAAUCAAUUUCCCCAUCUCCAUCCCACUCCAGAAACUGCAGAAUCUUUUCAAUUGUCUGAGGGUCAUGUGGGUUCUGUAGGAAAAACACACAUUGAGAAACAAAAAAAGGAUUUUAGCCUUGCUGCUCCUUGUCAGGAAAUGCAAACCCAGUGAUCAUGACAAUCUCUUCUACUUGCAUCUCUCUUAGGUUCACUUUUGUAGCUCAGCAUCUCCUUCAUGGCUGUGUUCUCCAUUUUCCUGGUGGUUCCCUGGCUACCACUAACCAUUCGGAGAUGCCAUAUCCCUCCACUAGAUGCAUUUCUUUUCUAUUUUUGAAAGUAAACCACCUCACAGUUAAUUCUUCAAUUUUUUCCCAUUUGUUCACAACAAAAUCUAUAGGAAGAACUUUUGCAGACAGUACAAAACCACACAUCUGCUGCUCUGUGUUGGUAAAAGCCUUUGCAUCCCACUUCCCUGUGGUCACAAGAGUCAUCCCCUCUCCAGAAAGUUUUCUGGUCCCUACACUUCAAUUUUGUCCUCAAUCUCUACCCAUCACUGCAGCACUCACCACUAUGGCAUCUGCAAAUUCCUUCUCGAUGAACUCCUUCAUCUUUCUUCGGUUGAGUUUGGAUUGGUCUCCAUCUUCCUUUGCAUGUUGGUAAAAGACAGUAAUGAUGGUGGAAACACUAUCUAAGAAGUGAGACAUCUUUCUGCAGAUUCAAGCAAGCCUGCAAGAAAAAUAGCAGACCUAAGGAUUGGAGAUCAUUUGGCUGAGCCUGGAAGAGGGGAAGGAUUGCUGGGGUCAAGCUGUGCACAUUAAUGAGAGUCUGGGUGCCCUGAGCUGUGUGUCUGCUCCUCUACCAAGGCAGGCUGUGCUUUACCAGGGCACUGGGAAGAUAUCCAAAUGCUUAGGGGUUUUGGUGGGAUGGGGAGUGUCCUCUAACUUGCCUGUUGACGUAUUGGAAUGACGUUUGGUAUGGGAUGGCAGGAUGCCUGCAUUUUUGGGUUGCAGGGAGGGGAUUGGGGAUGGUGACUCAAGAGAUACCCCAAGAACCGGUCCCUGUGGGCUCUAAUAACUCCUUCAGUUUCCAGAACCAAUGCAGCUCUUUCUACUUGGCGCUGGGAUGCACCAGCUCCUCUAGAGAGGUCAGAGGAUGUCUAAGGCAGUGCUGGAACAUCCUGAGAGAGGACCCAGCUGGGGCAGAGGUGGAUAGAGCAUUCACAGAAGGUUAAACAAGUCCUGUGACCGGCAGCAAUGCAAAUCAAUUGAUGAAUCUCAUGUUACAGCAUCAGGUUGUUGUCCAACAGAUUUUGGCCAAAGAAAAUGGUCAGAUCACCCAGGUCAGAAAUAUUUAUUGAAUUUAAUGGCAAUCUCCUGGGCAGAAAGCAGUGCUCCUGCUUGAGCUUUGUGUCUGGAAACCUCAAAUGCCACCUCUGUGCUCCCUGCAGGAUCCCUAAGCCUGUUAUUGGCUGCAUUGGUGCCAGGAUCUCAGCUUGCAACUGGGGAAGCUGCUCCCUGCCUGCUUGCAGCAUGCACACAUGCAUGAACACACGCACGCAUGCACGUCUGCAUGCGUCUUGCUAUUUCUAUGGAAAACCCAGCACUUCUUCAAUCUUUCACCCUGGGUGGGAGAUGAGUGCAGACCAAAGUGAGGCGCCAGACCUGGCUCCAUCUCUCCUUUUCGCUUGGAGGAAAACUGCCUUUUCACACAACACACAACAAAGAGCAUGCAGCUGUCCAAAUAGCGAAAAAUAACAUUUCAUUGAAGAUAAACCCGAACGACACUCGGAAAACAGUGCAGCAGAAACAUCAUUACUACCCGAGACAGAUCCUACAGAAAUCAUUCAUUUUCACCCAGCAAAGCUUGCUUUUCAGAAGGAACGACUUACCCAAGUCACCAAUGGGAUCAAAUGGGAUUCCUGUGAAGCCGUGCAGAGUGAUCGGAGGACUCGAGCGCUUUUAUAGGGUCCUUGGUGGAGGAGCAGAAAGGAGCCACCCUUUGUGGACAUUGUCCUGAUUCAUCUUUGGCCAAACCCAGCUGCACCUUCACGUCCUCAAACGGGUUAUUUAACUUAUCAUCCCAUUACCUAUCAUUUUAACCCAGAAAUAGCAGUUGCCAUGUGGCAAUUCAAGCAUCUGCUGGUUCCGCCUAAUCCGGACUGUAAAGUUAUUUUACGGGCUGAUUGUGUUUCAGAUUUAAAAGAAAAAUCUAGACUGCCUAUAAAGUAUAUAUAUACAUUAAUGGGAGGAUGUAUUUUUUUAUGAACAUGUAUCUUCGUAGGCAUGCGUUUAUGUAUGUAUAAUACGUGCACAUAAAAAUAGCACCAGAGUGAACCCGGGAGGGUGUUGUAAGCAGAUGUGGGGACCUGCCCACCGCUUUGCAGAUCCCUGGGGCUGGGGUCCAGUAGCUUGGCUUUGUGUUUUGCUCGUGGAGGAAGGACAGUAGAAGCCCCAGGAACUACAAAAGUGGUGAAAUGUACGUGGGCAGCAGAGAGAUCCCCAAAUCCUGCAGAGAUCUCAGCUUGUGUGGUGUUCUUGUAGCAUGUGCUGAAAUAUAUAUACAUAUUUUUUUCUCCUUGAUAACUGCUUAUUAAGGAGCCUUUCCCUGUAUUAUCCUUUUUUUUGUUGUUGUUGUUGUUGAAACAAACAAACAAAAAAGCCCAAGCCAACAAAACUUUUGUGAACAGUAAAAUCUGAAAAAUGGACUUUUUAACCAGAAAACACCUAUUCAACAUGCAACGACUUUCCAUUGAGAAAAAUGAUGAUACAACAUGUUUUUUUUUACGUUAACUCUCUUCUGUGAGUGGAUUUUGUUCCAACUUUUCUUGAUCUUUAAUUAAAACUAAAAGUGGAAACCUC